UGUAGCAGGAUGGAGCAAGGCACCGCAGAGGGUAGCAGGCUGUAGUGCAGCAAGACCACGGCGACAGCUGCAACCAAGAUCUUGGUGCCAUCCUAAUCCAUGGAAAUAUGCUGGGGGAAAAUAACAACAUAAGGACUCCGGUGAGUAAACUCUCUGAGAACUAAGUUAAGGCUUAGUGAUGUU
Long non-coding RNA from Etheostoma spectabile (orangethroat darter), 183 nucleotides. RefSeq lists it as uncharacterized. The transcript is spliced from 5 exons. The record is from RefSeq and is a predicted model, not a curated record. Lineage: Eukaryota; Metazoa; Chordata; Actinopteri; Perciformes; Percidae.